UAGGAUCAGGAUACUAAAUCACACAAGACAAGUUCAAUAUAAGAUGAUUUGAUCUUAAAUCGAUUUUGGGAAUCCAUAAAUUUAACCAUUUCGCAUCACCAAUCUUGUCACUUAAAUAAAAAGACAUUUAGUUUAUUAGUAUGUGUCUAGUAAUCAAGUAAGGAUAAACAAAUAUACCUAUUAAGGGUUUUACUAAGUAAAGCAAGAAACCCUAAUUAAUUCAACAUGGCCAUAUCAUUUGUAUUCAGAAUGCCAAAGUUAGUGUAAAUAAUCUUAAAAUACUCUAAUAGUGCGCUUGAAAAAUACACCUACAGCAAUGGCUCCCUAUCAAUACAAAUAAAUAAAUAAAAUAAUUAUAAGAGGAUACAAAUACCCAUAUUUGAUCAGGCGCAUGAAGUUUGAAGCGUAAAACAGGGUUUACUUUACAGUAAAUAAUAUUUUCCCAUGUGAAUACUUACCGUAAAACAUGAACACACACAAUGAUAACGAGCACGUUAUUAUAUUUAAACAUAAUUCAUAAACAGUUUGAUAAAUAUUUACACUUUUUUUUUGUCACGCUGCAGUUAAUUUUAUUCGUACACUUAUACUUUAUAAAUAGAAUGUUUCAACUCUGUGUGAUCUUCCAAAAAAUCAAAAUAAGUUUAUUUAGGCUUACAAGAUACUUAUGUAAAAGCGAUAUUAGCCUGAGGUAGCUUAAAUUAGUUUUGGGAAGAUUACUGUAAACGCAAACAGCAUUAAAUUAGACUGAUAUUAGAACGAUAUUAAAAUAAAUACGCUUAUAAUUUGUGCCCAAAUCCGGGCUUAUACGAUGAUAUAAAAUCAAUAUAAGAGCGAAAAAAUUGUAGUCUUGAGACUGUUGUAAGCGUGUUUUUGCUAGUUGGGAUACCUAUCAUAAUGUAAAAAAGGCAUAAGCAAGGGGGAAGUUUCGUUAGUUAUUCAGAUGAUUAAGUAUUAUGUAACCAAAAAAUAAUAAUUUCAGGUGACUCGGGGUAUGCUCUUGAGCCAUGGCUCAUGACGCCAGUGCUGAAUCCUGCCCCGGGAAGCCCAGAAGCAAGGUAGGUACACGGUCUGGCACUGUCGCGUGCGCAACACGAUCAAGCGUACCAAUGGGUACCUCAAAAACGUAUUCCGGUGCCUGGGCCACGACCGCGUCUUACACUACAGCCCGACGAAGGCAUCGUCAAUAAUAAAUGCAUGUUGCGUAGUAUACAACAUAAUGCAACAUUAUAGAAAUGUUCCCGAGGAAAUCGUAGGAGAUAUUGAUGAAGACGCUCCUCAAGAACUUCCUCAAUGUCAUGCGCAAAACGGACUACUAUUAAGAGUGGCGCAGGAAAAGCGUGCGCGUCUAAUAAAUACAUAUUUUGCUUA
This is a long non-coding RNA of Cydia pomonella (codling moth), 1368 nucleotides long. RefSeq lists it as uncharacterized. The transcript is spliced from 2 exons. The record is from RefSeq and is a predicted model, not a curated record. NCBI's taxonomy places the organism in Eukaryota, Metazoa, Arthropoda, Insecta, Lepidoptera, Tortricidae.